RNAcentral lists this ribosomal RNA (768 nucleotides) under uncultured archaeon. RNAcentral's name for it is "bacterial SSU rRNA". It matches the Rfam family "Archaeal small subunit ribosomal RNA", at positions 325 to 1093 of the family's 1478-position model. The record is from RNAcentral.
ACGGGGUGCAGCAGGCGCGAAAACUCCGCAAUACACGAAAGUGUGACGGGGGGACCCCAAGUGCUCUCGCGCAAGCGAGUGCUUUUGUGAAGUGUAAAUAGCUUCAAGAAUAAGAGCUGGGUAAGACCGGUGCCAGCCGCCGCGGUAACACCGGCAGCUCGAGUGGUGAUCACUAUUAUUGGGCCUAAAGCGUCCGUAGCCGGUUUGAUAAGUCCUUGGGCAAAUCCUACCGCUUAACGGUAGGAAUUCUGGGGAUACUGUCAGACUUGAGGCCGAGAGAGGUCGGAGGUACUUCUAGGGUAGCGGUGAAAUGCUAUAAUCCUAGGGGGACCACCAGUGGCGAAAGCGUCCGACCAGAGCGGGCCUGACGGUAAGGGACGAAAGCCAGGGGAGCGAACGGGAUUAGAUACCCCGGUAGUCCUGGCCGUAAACGCUGUGGGCUAGGUGUUGCAUGCUCUACGAGGGCGUGCAGUGCCGUAGAGAAGUUGAUAAGCCUACCGCCUGGGAAGUACUAUCGCAAGAUAAAAACUUAAAGGAAUUGGCGGGGGAGCACCACAAGGGGUGAAGUCUGCGGUUUAAUUGGAUUCAACGCCGGAAAUCUCACUGGAAGCGACGGCAGAAUGAUAGCCAAGCUGAUGACUUUGCUUGACGAGCCGAGAGGAGGUGCAUGGCCGUCGUCAGCUCGUACCGUAAGGCGUCCUGUUAAGUCAGGCAACGAGCGAGACCCGUACCCUUAUUUGUCAGUUAGUCCCUACGGGGACUGAGACC